Molecule: ribosomal RNA, 333 nt
Filed under: Triticum aestivum (bread wheat)
Lineage: Eukaryota; Viridiplantae; Streptophyta; Magnoliopsida; Poales; Poaceae
Description: partial small subunit ribosomal RNA
Source: RNAcentral
AUGAGGAGGACGCUGAAGGCGAAGCAGACGAUGGCAGCGCACCACAUCGCGGGGCUGGUCCGGUGCCGUGGCUGCAGGAUGAUCUUGGGCGGCGGCGGCGGCUCUGGCUCCUGCCGCUUCAUGCUGAUGAUCUUGGUGACGAUGGUUCUUGGAGACAGGAGGUGGUAUGGAGUAGGAGUACCCAUUGAUCCCGAGCAGCAGCAACCAAUCACAAAGGAGCGCACCGGGAGGAGAGGAGAGGAGAGGAGAAGAAGCCAAGCGAGUAAGGUGUCCGAACGGGAAAGCAAAAGGGAAGGACGAAGUAAUAAUGGAGGUAAAAGUAGGCUAUGCUAA